CUGCAGUGCACAUCCAGCCCUGGUCUAGCCCAACAUCUCUUUGAUCUCUUCCUGGACAGCGUUUGUAAGGGACAGCAGCCCUUUGUAAGGUGAUCAUUUCCUUUUGAGGGACACACUGGCUCCCUGGCGUUGUAUCAGAGAGAAGACCAGUGGCCUUCUUGGGUCCUACUGAUCUCCCUUUUAUUCUUCCUCACCCAGUCCCUAGCCUAGAAGUUUCCUUAACUCCCUUACUUUUGGCCAAGACACCAGUCUAUACCCAGAAUCCCCCAAGGGCUUAAGCUUGUGGAAAACGGGGCCAAAGGCACUUUGUAGACUGUUUCCACUUUCUCCUCCCCACAGACCUCUCUGCCUGUUUCAACAGAAGGAGGGCAGGGCAAAGGCCAGGAAGGGAGAGGUAACCAUGUCACCAUGGGCUCAGCCAGGCUGAGGAUCCCUAAGCCCCUGUCCCUUGGUCGUCAGGAAUCCUGCACAGGGCUCAUCAGCUUGCAGACUGUCCCAGCCGUCCUGCAAAGACGGCAGCGUGGGAGUGGGGAGGGAGGCACACACGGGCACGGCAAUCUGAUUGUUCUGGCAAUGUGUGCAAAGCUGCCCAGCUGCCAUGGCAUCCCAGGUCCUCGAGAAGCCAGGCUCAGGUCUGCCCACAACCGCCUUCUCACAGAGGAGUCCCUGGGUGUAUCUACCAUCUCCAGCUCCUUUUCUUUCUGCUCAUUUCCACUGAGCUUGGAUUUAGUCUGAAUGACAGCCCCACCCAGCAUCCUGCCUCCUGGCCUGUCUAGCAAUCAAUCAGUUCCUUACCAUUGCAUUUAUAAAUGGCUCUCCUCCACCGCAGAGGCUGGGAUGGGGAUCCAGCUGAACCCCGCAGUCCCAGUAACACUGAGGGCCAACACAGAGCUUCCUGCUCCUCAUCACCCCUUCUUCAUCACAGGCAAGAGACACUGUUUCCUCAGCUACUUUUUCUGUCAUUUGCAUAAAAUCGCGGGUACCCAUGGAUGAACUCACUGACGAAUCUGUGUACCCGUACCCAGCACCGCGAUCAGAUGUGCUCACUUUCUUUGUGACUUUGAUACGAGAUCAUACCCGGUUGUGGACUGCAGAAUGGUGUCUGGUGUGUUGUGUAGUCGAUGAACUGAGCUAGUACAUGCAGAACCCCUCACAGUUCUUAUGUCUUGAGAUGACCGUUCAGCCUUCCCAGCAUCCCCUUGGCUGUGUUUUCGGCCACACUGCGUCCGCUGGGAACAGCGCGUUGGGGGAGUAUGAGAAUCCAGGGUCCACACGAUGCCGAUUUUUGUUUCCAGUCAUGGGAUUGGUGCAUCCUAUGGUGGUUUAAUUUUCAGUUAUUUUGAGGAACCUUCACAUCACACCGUUUAAACUUAUAAUACUACCUCAAUGGAGAGUAACACCCUCAGUUCAAAACCCCAAAUUUGAGAUGCUCUGAAAUUUGAACCAGUUUAUCACUGCUGUGACACCACAGAGGCGAGGUCCAUGUCUUGAAACUGUUUCAGGCACAAACUUAUUAAAACUAUGGUACAGAUCACCCUGGUCUGAGCACAGAAAGUGUGUUAGGGCUCUAAGGGAAUUUUGGGUUCAGACAGGGUUCCUUCUCCAAGAAAUCGGAUUUUGUAUGAACAAAUGUCAAAAAAAAAAAUCCCUAAAAUAAUAAUAGUAAAACUU
Long non-coding RNA from Peromyscus leucopus (white-footed mouse), 1671 nucleotides. RefSeq lists it as uncharacterized. The transcript has 2 exons. The record is from RefSeq and is a predicted model, not a curated record. NCBI's taxonomy places the organism in Eukaryota, Metazoa, Chordata, Mammalia, Rodentia, Cricetidae.